AAGUCGUAACAAGGUUUCCGUAGGUGAACCUGCGGAAGGAUCAUUAACACGUAUCCAACGUUAAACCCCCCGUGAACCUUCAUUGUGCUCCCCCAUUCCGUUAGUUUUGAUUCAGGGACCUCUGCAUGGAGUGGGCAGCAGCGCGAGGCAAGUGACCUGGCAUUCCUCUGCUUGUUGGUGUCUGAAAGUGUCACUAGCUCUGUAAGAAUGGCGCAGUAACGAUCGCUAGAGGCCGACACGGCCGGCGACCGGGUCGCUGGGCUCACGCCCCCCUAUCACCUUUGCAUGAAAACGGGCCUGCGCUUAAUUGUGCGGCCACCAAACUCGAACAACUGUUAACAAUGGAUAUCUUGGUUCUC
This 359-nucleotide unclassified non-coding RNA is filed under the name fungal sp. RNAcentral's name for it is "partial internal transcribed spacer region". The stretch from base 1 to 46 matches the Rfam family "Eukaryotic small subunit ribosomal RNA", at positions 1786 to 1831 of the family's 1831-position model. Lineage: Eukaryota; Fungi. The record is from RNAcentral.